CAAAUUUGAAAGCUGUUGCCUUUGGUAACCGCAUUGUAAUCUCGAGAUCUGUUUUCCGCGCUGGACCAUGUACAAGUCCCUUGGAAUAGGGCGUCAUAGAGGGUGAGAAUCCCGUACUUGACAUGGCCUCCCAGUGCUUUGUGAUACAGGCUCAACGAGUCGAGUUGUUUGGGAAUGCAGCUCAAAAUGGGUGGUAAAUUCCAUCUAAAGCUAAAUAUUGGGGAGAGACCGAUAGCGAACAAGUACCGUGAGGGAAAGAUGAAAAGCACUUUGGAAAGAGAGUUAAACAGUACGUGAAAUUGUCAAAAGGGAACCGUUUAAAGUUAGUCAUGCUUGCCUGGACUCAGCCUUGCUUUUGCUUGGUGCAUUUCCAGGUUAGCAGGUCAGCAUCGGUUUUGACUGCUGGAUAAGGGUGAGAGGAAUGUGGCACCCUAGGGUGUGUUAUAGCCUUUCACUGGAUGCAGC
Molecule: ribosomal RNA, 465 nt
Filed under: Entyloma dahliae
Lineage: Eukaryota; Fungi; Basidiomycota; Exobasidiomycetes; Entylomatales; Entylomataceae
Description: LSU rRNA
Rfam family: Eukaryotic large subunit ribosomal RNA
Source: RNAcentral